GGUUGUGGCUCAGUAGUAGAGCACUUGCCUAGCAUGCAUGAGGCACUGGGUUCAAUCCCCUAAACCA
RNAcentral lists this transfer RNA (67 nucleotides) under Ictidomys tridecemlineatus (thirteen-lined ground squirrel). RNAcentral describes it as "Spermophilus tridecemlineatus (thirteen-lined ground squirrel) tRNA". It matches the Rfam family "tRNA". From Rfam's summary of the family: Transfer RNA (tRNA) molecules are approximately 80 nucleotides in length. Their secondary structure includes four short double-helical elements and three loops (D, anti-codon, and T loops). Lineage: Eukaryota; Metazoa; Chordata; Mammalia; Rodentia; Sciuridae. The record is from Rfam by way of RNAcentral.